This 2304-nucleotide long non-coding RNA is filed under the name Mytilus galloprovincialis (Mediterranean mussel). The record is from RNAcentral. Lineage: Eukaryota; Metazoa; Mollusca; Bivalvia; Mytilida; Mytilidae.
AUGUUUUGUUGACUUUUCAUAUCUACGUGCACACUAGUGAUUUAUAAUAAACUUUUCGCAAAGUAUGCAUGUAAGAAUUCAUUGUUAAAUAACUUUUCUGCUUGGAUAUUGUAUAGCCGCCACAGAAGUUUUAUCCAUUUUGUUGUUGUUUCAAAGUAAAAUUCGCCACAGAAGUUUUAUCCAUUUUGUUGUUGUUUCAAAGUAAAAUUUUUGUAAGUAUGACAUUAAUCAUUUGUUUUAACGACGAAUUAAAACAACAUUUAUAUCGUAGAAAGUCAAAUAAUAACAUGACUUAUAGAAAAUAAGGCUUACAACAGUGCACAAAAUUUAAAACUAAAACUUAAGUAUUUGCAAGCAGAUCCUUAGAUAUCGUAGUUUAAUUGGAUACUUGGCUAUUUACUUUGCAGUUUCCUAGCUGUUUUUAAAAGCACUACAGAAUGAGUUCAAAAUUUUAUAUUAUUGCAGGUUAAAUAUUUGAAAAAAAAAACUAUUUCUUUUAGAAUAAUACCUCUGAUGUAGAUUAUAGCGAUAUUUUAAGCCGUCAAUCAUUUUUUUUCUCUCUCAGAAGCACUCUAUUUCUUAUAGGUUACUACUCAAAUGCUUCCGUCUAUUCCUCUCCUUUUGCAGGUUGUUUGAUUUCGGACUGUUACAGGAUAGUAAGGAUAAUGUUGAGAGUAUGAAUUGAGAAUGUGUCAAAGAGACAACAACCCAACAAAAGCGAAACCAGCGAAGGACAAGAAAUAUAUUGUCAAUACAUCAAGUCACUUGUUCGGAAUUAGAAUAUAGAGUUUAUUGCUUUACACAAAAUAUACGAUAUACAUCUUUCCUAAGAAGCUAUUAGUCAAUAAACAUGGUCCAAAUAAUGUGUUGUGUCUUAGAUAUGUCUUACAUAAAUCAAUCAUUACCCUUUAAACAAAACAAAACACGAAACAAGUAAAGGUUGUAUAUCCGCUUAGAAAAUGACAUUUGUAUUGCACGAGACCAUAUACAAAAUCCAGUGACUCUUGUUAAUAUUUGAAUUCUCAGUAUGCUAGACCAUCUGAUGAGAACAUUUAGCUAAAUCAAUGGUGGUUUAAAUAAUGCCUUCUUAUGUAAUUAACAUGCACUUUAGGUAAGUUGAAUAGUAUAAUCGUGUAACGAGCUCGAGUAUUUUAGUUUCUGUUUUUUAUUUAUACUUGUUUGCAUGAAAUUAACAUUGAGUUAUCAAAAGAUGCUAAAAUGAUUUUGAUAAAAGAAUCUAUUAAAAACAACAAUCAGAGGAAGUAAGUAAUCGAUUACACACAAAUCAUUCAAGCAAUCAUUAAUCCAUUCAUUUUUAUAUCAACCAACCAACAAUUAAAUAUAAUGUCAUUAAAUACAUUGGUUUUGUUUAAUAUUUCCAGCCAUAGAUAAAGUCAAAGAAUUUAGAUGGAUAGCGAUAAUUCAAAUCAAGAGACACUGGACCGAAGUGUUUAUCAUCCAGAUAAAAAGCAUGCUAAAAAUAAUUGCAGUGGUUUUGGCGAUGUUAUGGACAGAAUAGUGCAUUAUUCACCCAAAGUUGAUAAUGAGAAUAAAUCAUUUAAAAAACGAGAGGAAAAUUACCAAGGAGACAAUCUGCCAACGACCUUAAAUAGUGUUAGAAAUGAAACAACAAAAGAACACGAGGAGCCCGAGGUUGUGUUGAAUAGUUCAGAUAAUGCUGAAAUCCAUAACGUUAAGACAAAGAAACUAUCACAAGAGAAAAGUAUGUCAUUGUCAGAAAAUGGUUCAGAUUUUGAUUCACAAAUAGUCAGCUCUGACAGAUUACCACUACCAAUCAACUCCGACUUAUUGCCACCAACAGACGACUUUAACGUUAUUCCAUCGAUAGCCAGCUCUGAGGUUAAUCAACAAAAAGCCAACUCUGACGUUAAUCAACCAGCGAGCUCUGACGUUUAUCUACAAACAACCAACUGUGACGUGGAUCAACCAGCAGCUACCUCUGAUGUUUAUCCAAAAACAUCAAGCUCUGUCGUUUAUCUACAAACAGUUAGAUCUGACGUAUUCAAACCAACGUCCAGCUCUGACAUAUAUCUAUCAAAAGGCAACUCUGACGUAAAUCAAUCAAUCGUCAGCACUGAUAUCGAUGUACAUCAACCAACAGCUUACUCUGACGUUAGUCCACCAACAGCCAACUCUGACGUUCGUCCACCAAUCGCCAGUACUGACGUACAUCAACUGACAGCCAGCUCUAACGAAAUUCCACGUUAUAUCCCUUGUUUAACCUUUCAAUAACACUUAACCCUCAAUGUAAAAUGUUAAAAUAACGAAAACGGUAAAAAAAAA